CGCGCUCCCUGAAUUGUACAAGCAGUGUUUUCCCAGAUGGAUGAUUCACUCCUCAGCCCCAUUUCUCCUGUCAUCCUCUGAGCCUUUGAAACCACCGACGUGCUCAUCAGGACUGACUCAUCUCCAGGUCUCCCAGAGCCUGCUGGACCAAGGCACAUGGGCUGAUGGGGAGAGCACUCCCCUUCUUCACUACAAGACACAGACACAGGGGGAGCCCUUCAACCACUGUGACAACAGACAAAUGUUUACUUCAACAACGAGCACGCGACCACGUUAACUGUUAGGUCUGUUGCAGCUGAACGUAUUUGAUUUACCUUCAACUUCAGCGACAGAAGAAAAACAGUCAGAAUGACAUGUUCAUGUG
RNAcentral lists this long non-coding RNA (364 nucleotides) under Lepisosteus oculatus (spotted gar). RNAcentral's name for it is "lncRNA (ENSLOCG00000021391.1)". The record is from RNAcentral. Lineage: Eukaryota; Metazoa; Chordata; Actinopteri; Semionotiformes; Lepisosteidae.